GCUCUUGUAGCUCAGUUGGUUUGAGCACUCGUUUAGUAAGCGGGAGGUCUUGAGUUCAACUCUCAAUAAGAGCA
Molecule: non-coding RNA, 74 nt
Organism: Cucurbita moschata (crookneck pumpkin)
Lineage: Eukaryota; Viridiplantae; Streptophyta; Magnoliopsida; Cucurbitales; Cucurbitaceae
Source: the annotation of a RefSeq genome assembly